This 72-nucleotide transfer RNA is filed under the name Perkinsus olseni. Its description in RNAcentral is "tRNA-Pro". It matches the Rfam family "tRNA". Rfam says of the family: Transfer RNA (tRNA) molecules are approximately 80 nucleotides in length. Lineage: Eukaryota; Perkinsozoa; Perkinsida; Perkinsidae. The record is from RNAcentral.
GGCUGUGUGGUCUAGAGGUAUAAUUCUCGCUUAGGGUGUGAGAGGUCUCGAGUUCAAUUUUCGGCAUAGCCC